AACGAACGCUGACGGCAGGCCUAACACAUGCAAGUCGAACGCCCUAGCAAUAGGGAGUGGCAGACGGGUGAGUAACGCGUGGGAACCUUCCCUGUGGUGCGGAAUAACUCGCCGAAAGGCGUGCUAAUACCGCAUAAGCCCGAAAGGGGAAAGAUUUAUCGCCAUAGGAUGGGCCCGCGUAGGAUUAGCUAGUUGGUGAGGUAAUGGCUCACCAAGGCGACGAUCCUUAGCUGGUGAGAGAAUGACCAGCCACACUGGGACUGAGACACGGCCCAGACUCCUACGGGAGGCAGCAGUGGGGAAUCUUGGACAAUGGGCGCAAGCCUGAUCCAGCCAUGCCGCGUGAGUGACGAAGGCCUU
RNAcentral lists this ribosomal RNA (360 nucleotides) under uncultured bacterium. RNAcentral describes it as "bacterial SSU rRNA". It matches the Rfam family "Bacterial small subunit ribosomal RNA", at positions 29 to 418 of the family's 1533-position model. The record is from RNAcentral.